CGUGAGUCAUCCACCCUCGGUACCGGGAUAGCCCGGGGAAACUCGGAUUAAUACCGGAUGGCCCAACAGCUCUUCGGGGCGGUUGGAAAAGGUAGCUUCGGCCUCCGACCGAGGACGAGCUCGCGGCGGAUUAGCUUGUUGGCGGGGUAACGGCCCACCAAGGCGACGAUCCGUAGCUGGUCUGAGAGGACGAUCAGCCACACUGGGACUGAGACACGGCCCAGACUCCUACGGGAGGCAGCAGUGGGGAAUCUUGCGCAAUGGGCGACAGCCUGACGCAGCGACGCCGCGUGCGGGAAGAAGGCCUUCGGGUUGUAAACCGCUUUCAGGAGGGACGAAGCCACUCGGGUUAAUAGCCCAGAGGGUGACGGUACCUCCAGAAGAAGCCCCGGCUAACUACGUGCCAGCAGCCGCGGUAAUACGUAGGGGGCUAGCGUUGUCCGGAUUUAUUGGGCGUAAAGCGCGUGUAGGCGGCCAUGCAGGUCCGUUGUGAAAACUCGAGGCUUAACCUCGAGACGUCGAUGGAAACCGCAUGGCUAGAGUCCGGAAGAGGAGAGUGGAAUUCCUGGUGUAGCGGUGAAAUGCGCAGAUAUCAGGAAGAACACCCGUGGC
Molecule: ribosomal RNA, 612 nt
Filed under: uncultured bacterium
Lineage: Bacteria
Description: bacterial SSU rRNA
Rfam family: Bacterial small subunit ribosomal RNA
Source: RNAcentral